This is a long non-coding RNA of Eptesicus fuscus (big brown bat), 196 nucleotides long. RefSeq lists it as uncharacterized. NCBI's taxonomy places the organism in Eukaryota, Metazoa, Chordata, Mammalia, Chiroptera, Vespertilionidae. The transcript has 2 exons. The record is from RefSeq and is a predicted model, not a curated record.
CUCAGGCUUAUUUUUCAGGUUGAUGUUGAUGACUUCAUGCCUGAAAGACACAUAGAAGACCAGGAAGAGAACGAAACAUUCAAACACCAAAUGUGCAGAGAGGCCCUCCCUGACCACCCAUUCUGAAGCUGCUGAGAGCCUCCAUUACAUGAUCAUCUUGUUUUACUUUCUUUAUUAAACUGAUAUGUAUCUGAAA